UACGUAGGUGGCAAGCGUUGUCCGGAUUUACUGGGCGUAAAGAGCGCGCAGGCGGUCGUUCAAGUCGCGUGUGAAAGCCCCCGGCUCAACUGGGGAGGGUCACGCGAUACUGAUCGACUCGAAGGCAGGAGAGGGUAGUGGAAUUCCCGGUGUAGUGGUGAAAUGCGUAGAUAUCUGCAGGAACACCCGUGGCGAAAGCGGCGCGCUGGACCACUACUGACGCUGAGGAACGAAAGCUAGGGGAGCAAACAGG
This 253-nucleotide ribosomal RNA is filed under the name uncultured bacterium. Its description in RNAcentral is "partial 16S ribosomal RNA". It matches the Rfam family "Bacterial small subunit ribosomal RNA", at positions 524 to 776 of the family's 1533-position model. The record is from RNAcentral.